RNAcentral lists this unclassified non-coding RNA (351 nucleotides) under soil metagenome. RNAcentral describes it as "partial contains 5.8S ribosomal RNA, internal transcribed spacer 2, and large subunit ribosomal RNA". The stretch from base 1 to 120 matches the Rfam family "5.8S ribosomal RNA", at positions 35 to 154 of the family's 154-position model. The record is from RNAcentral.
GAUGAAGAACGCAGCGAAAUGCGAAAAGUAAUGUGAAUUGCAGAAUUCAGUGAAUCAUCGAAUCUUUGAACGCACAUUGCGCCCGCCAGUAUUCUGGCGGGCAUGCCUGUCUGAGCGUCAUUUCAACCCUCACGCCCCUAGGGCGUGGUGUUGGGGAUCGGCCAAGGCCCGCAAGGGACGGCCGGCCCCUAAAUCUAGUGGCGGACCCAUCGUGGCCUCCCCUGCGAAGUAGUAAUAUAUUCCGCAUCGGAUAGCGAUGAGCCCCUGCCGUUAAACCCCCAACUCUUUCAAGGUUGACCUCAGAUCAGGUAUGAAUACCCGCUGAACUUAAGCAUAUCAAUAAGCGGAGGA